AACGCAUAUUGCGGUCGAGGCUCCGGCCGAGACCAUGUCUGCCUCAGCGUCGGUGUGAACCCCACACUCCCCUCUACUGGUGGAGUGGAUCUGGUCUCCCCACUACCUGGUAGUGGGCUGGCCGAAAGUCAGAGGUUUAAGCUCGGACCUAUAUGGCAACAGCAAGGUAGGUAGCUCGUCUACUCCAGCUGAUGCUUUGGGUGCUUGCACAAGCCCGCAGGAAAACACCACCUUUUCGACCUGAGAUCAGGCAAGGCUACCCGCUGAACUUAA
RNAcentral lists this unclassified non-coding RNA (273 nucleotides) under uncultured fungus. Its description in RNAcentral is "partial contains 5.8S ribosomal RNA, internal transcribed spacer 2, and large subunit ribosomal RNA". The record is from RNAcentral. Lineage: Eukaryota; Fungi.